UACGUAGGUGGCGAGCGUUGUCCGGAAUUACUGGGUGUAAAGCGCGCGUAGGCGGGAGGCCAAGUCCACUGUGAAAUCGCCCGGCUCAACUGGGCGCGGUCGGUGGAAACUGGUCACCUGGAGGACGGUAGAGGCGAGUGGAAUUCCCGGUGUAGUGGUGAAAUGCAUUGAGAUCGGAAAGAACACCAACGGCGAAAGCACUCUGCUGGGCCGACACUGACACUGAGAGACGAAGGCUAGGGGAGCAAAUGGG
RNAcentral lists this ribosomal RNA (253 nucleotides) under uncultured bacterium. Its description in RNAcentral is "partial 16S ribosomal RNA". It matches the Rfam family "Bacterial small subunit ribosomal RNA", at positions 524 to 776 of the family's 1533-position model. The record is from RNAcentral.